Molecule: ribosomal RNA, 497 nt
Filed under: uncultured bacterium
Lineage: Bacteria
Description: partial 16S ribosomal RNA
Rfam family: Bacterial small subunit ribosomal RNA
Source: RNAcentral
GAUGAACGCUGGCGGCGUGCCUAAUACAUGCAAGUCGAGCGAACAGACGAGGAGCUUGCUCCUCUGACGUUAGCGGCGGACGGGUGAGUAACACGUGGAUAACCUACCUAUAAGACUGGGAUAACUUCGGGAAACCGGAGCUAAUACCGGAUAAUAUAUUGAACCGCAUGGUUCAAUAGUGAAAGACGGUUUUGCUGUCACUUAUAGAUGGAUCCGCGCCGCAUUAGCUAGUUGGUAAGGUAACGGCUUACCAAGGCAACGAUGCGUAGCCGACCUGAGAGGGUGAUCGGCCACACUGGAACUGAGACACGGUCCAGACUCCUACGGGAGGCAGCAGUAGGGAAUCUUCCGCAAUGGGCGAAAGCUUGACGGAGCAACGCCGCGUGAGUGAUGAAGGUCUUCGGAUCGUAAAACUCUGUUAUUAGGGAAGAACAAAUGUGUAAGUAUCUAUGCACGUCUUGACGGUACCUAAUCAGAAAGCCACGGCUAACUACGUG